RNAcentral lists this long non-coding RNA (249 nucleotides) under Elaeis guineensis (African oil palm). Its description in RNAcentral is "long non-coding RNA (EGUI_LNC051524)". The record is from RNAcentral. Lineage: Eukaryota; Viridiplantae; Streptophyta; Magnoliopsida; Arecales; Arecaceae.
CAUAUGCCUUCGAAACCUCUACUAUGGCCAUGCUAAGGACCUUUUCCCAAAAGGAUCACAUCUCAUAAAUCAGAUUCAGAUAUCUAAUAUUUGAACAAUCUGAACUUUAGGACAAGCAAUAAUUGCUUUCUAUUUUUCUUUUGAUUUUCUUUCUAAUUUUCCUCUUCUUUUUCUUGUCUUUUCCUUUCCUUUUCUUUUCAGACUUUUUUCCCUUCUUUUUCUCACAUAAUCCCAUGCCUAAAGCCCUUA